Molecule: ribosomal RNA, 253 nt
Filed under: uncultured bacterium
Lineage: Bacteria
Description: partial 16S ribosomal RNA
Rfam family: Bacterial small subunit ribosomal RNA
Source: RNAcentral
UACGAAGGGUGCAAGCGUUACUCGGAAUUACUGGGCGUAAAGCGUGCGUAGGUGGUUCGUUAAGUCUGUCGUGAAAGCCCCGGGCUCAACCUGGGAAUGGCGAUGGAUACUGGCGGGCUAGAGUGCGGUAGAGGAGAGUGGAAUUCCCGGUGUAGCAGUGAAAUGCGUAGAGAUCGGGAGGAACAUCAGUUGCGAAGGCGGCUCUCUGGACCAGCACUGACACUGAGGCACGAAAGCGUGGGGAUCAAACAGG